GCUGGCUGGCAGGUGGCGGGGAGGCUGCUGCUCGUGCUGGUGUCAAGGACAGAGCAUUUGUUCUGCAGCAGACCGGAGAAGGGCUUCCAAGGGGCUCUUCCAAAAGCACAGACGCGCUCUAUUUCCAGACCAGAACAAGAAAGGAUGUUGCCUCUUUGGAGCAAUUCUGUCAUCUUUUCUAAGGUUGCUGAACAUAAUAAAACACAGGAUGUCCAGGUCCAUCAUGACCUGUGCCAAAGGCAGAUGCUUUAAUGACUGAGCCACCCAGGCACCCCUAUAAAGAUAUGAAGACAACAAAGCAAGAUGUUUUAUGAAGUCAGUGCCACAAAAGGAGCUCCCAAAACUUCCGUCUAGAUUCGUGAAUCCAUUGUGUGACUUUCUUCUCCGUGUUCUAUUUUCCACUGCUCCUGCCUUUGUCCUUUUUCUCUGAUUCUGUUUCUCUCUCAGGAAUGAAAGCAUCAUCUGUUAUGAGCCCUUGUUCAACAAGCCAUGUUGACAGCCAGAACAGAUUGAGGAAGCGGUCCUCAGAGGCAGGUCCCGGUGAAAGCAGGAAGCGGAAACCAUUUCUCCUUUGACACACUCCUCUCUGUGGCCUUUAGAUCCCCGACCUGAAUUGGGUCCUCACAGCCCUAGCGGCUUACUGCCUACUAUGUCCCAUGCAGGUUCACCGCUUCAAAUAGUGCCACAGCCUUAAGAUUACUUCCUCUUUUUAUUUCCUAUCGAAACCUCCCUUUCCUCGGGGCUGAGGGCAGCAUCAAAAGGAGAAGGGAGUUGGGGGAAAUUGGAAGGGGAGGUGAAACAUGAGAGACUAUGGACUCUGAAAAACAAUC
Molecule: long non-coding RNA, 830 nt
Organism: Mustela lutreola (European mink)
Lineage: Eukaryota; Metazoa; Chordata; Mammalia; Carnivora; Mustelidae
Exons: 4
Source: RefSeq, a predicted model, not a curated record